CUGGAAAUCCUUGGAUCAUCUUUGGAUCACCACACCUGCGGCAGAAGCACUCCAGCAGCUGCGCCCUUGCGCCAGCCCCUUCUUUCUUUCUUUUCUUGCUUUCUUUCUUUAUUUUUGUGUUAGUUUCAGCCAUGAGUGGUUGAAACCCUUUUUCUAGUUGAAGAAUAAGGUGAAACUUUGGUUGUUUAUGGAUUGGGAG
RNAcentral lists this long non-coding RNA (199 nucleotides) under Manihot esculenta (cassava). RNAcentral's name for it is "long non-coding RNA (MESC_LNC012763)". Lineage: Eukaryota; Viridiplantae; Streptophyta; Magnoliopsida; Malpighiales; Euphorbiaceae. The record is from RNAcentral.